Molecule: ribosomal RNA, 526 nt
Filed under: Lysinibacillus fusiformis
Lineage: Bacteria; Bacillati; Bacillota; Bacilli; Caryophanales; Bacillaceae
Description: bacterial SSU rRNA
Rfam family: Bacterial small subunit ribosomal RNA
Source: RNAcentral
ACACGUGGGCAACCUACCCUAUAGUUUGGGAUAACUCCGGGAAACCGGGGCUAAUACCGAAUAAUCUCUUUUGCUUCAUGGUGAAAGACUGAAAGACGGUUUCGGCUGUCGCUAUAGGAUGGGCCCGCGGCGCAUUAGCUAGUUGGUGAGGUAACGGCUCACCAAGGCGACGAUGCGUAGCCGACCUGAGAGGGUGAUCGGCCACACUGGGACUGAGACACGGCCCAGACUCCUACGGGAGGCAGCAGUAGGGAAUCUUCCACAAUGGGCGAAAGCCUGAUGGAGCAACGCCGCGUGAGUGAAGAAGGUUUUCGGAUCGUAAAACUCUGUUGUAAGGGAAGAACAAGUACAGUAGUAACUGGCUGUACCUUGACGGUACCUUAUUAGAAAGCCUCGGCUAACUACGUGCCAGCAGCCGCGGUAAUACGUAGGUGGCAAGCGUUUGUCCGGAAUUAUUGGGCGUAAAGCGCGCGCAGGCGGUCCUUUAAGUCUGAUGAGAAAGCCCACGGCUCAACCCGUGGAGGGU